RNAcentral lists this ribosomal RNA (253 nucleotides) under uncultured bacterium. Its description in RNAcentral is "partial 16S ribosomal RNA". It matches the Rfam family "Bacterial small subunit ribosomal RNA", at positions 524 to 776 of the family's 1533-position model. The record is from RNAcentral.
UACGUAGGUGGCAAGCGUUGUCCGGAAUUAUUGGGCGUAAAGCGCGCGCAGGUGGUUCUUUAAGUCUGAUGUGAAAUCUCGCGGCUCAACCGCGAGCGGUCAUUGGAAACUGGGGAACUUGAGUGCAGAAGAGGAAAGUGGAAUUCAUGGUGUAGCAGUGAAAUGCGUAGAGAUCAUGAGGAAGACCAGUGGCGAAGGCGGGUCUCUGGACAGUUCCUGACACUGAGACACGAAGGCCAGGGGAGCAAACGGG